AACGCUAGCUACAGGCUUAACACAUGCAAGUCGAGGGGAAACGAUAUUGGAAGCUUGCUUCCGAUAGGCGUCGACCGGCGCACGGGUGAGUAACGCGUAUCCAACCUGCCCAUCACUUGGGGAUAACCUUGCGAAAGUAAGACUAAUACCCAAUGACGUCUCUAGAAGACAUCUGAAAUGGAUUAAAGAUUUAUCGGUGAUGGAUGGGGAUGCGUCUGAUUAGCUUGUUGGCGGGGUAACGGCCCACCAAGGCGACGAUCAGUAGGGGUUCUGAGAGGAAGGUCCCCCACAUUGGAACUGAGACACGGUCCAAACUCCUACGGGAGGCAGCAGUGAGGAAUAUUGGUCAAUGGGCGAGAGCCUGAACCAGCCAAGUAGCGUGCAGGAUGACGGCCCUAUGGGUUGUAAACUGCUUUUAUAAGGGAAUAAAGUGAGUCUCGUGAGACUUUUUGCAUGUACCUUAUGAAUAAGGACCGGCUAAUUCCGUGCCAGCAGCCGCGGUAAUACGGAAGGUCCGGGCGUUAUCCGGAUUUAUUGGGUUUAAAGGGAGCGUAGGCCGGAGAUUAAGCGUGUUGUGAAAUGUAGACGCUCAACGUCUGCACUGCAGCGCGAACUGGUUUCCUUGAGUACGCACAAAGUGGGCGGAAUUCGUGGUGUAGCGGUGAAAUGCUUAGAUAUCACGAAGAACUCCGAUUG
RNAcentral lists this ribosomal RNA (696 nucleotides) under uncultured bacterium. RNAcentral describes it as "bacterial SSU rRNA". It matches the Rfam family "Bacterial small subunit ribosomal RNA", at positions 32 to 715 of the family's 1533-position model. The record is from RNAcentral.